Molecule: long non-coding RNA, 2263 nt
Filed under: Salmo salar (Atlantic salmon)
Lineage: Eukaryota; Metazoa; Chordata; Actinopteri; Salmoniformes; Salmonidae
Description: lncRNA (ENSSSAG00000091218.1)
Rfam family: mir-137 microRNA precursor family (bases 446-516)
Source: RNAcentral
ACCAAAACAACAUUUGUUGUUGAAGUAGAAGUCCUGUGAGUGCAUUCUGACGAAGAACAGGAAAGGCGAGGCGAACGUCAGACGACUGACUCCUCGGCUUUGUGCACAGUGGGAGGGAAUCUCUCUCUCAGGAGGAACAGGAAUUAAACGGGCGCUCAUUAUGCCUGAAUUUGCAUCAGUAAAAGCGGAUAGCCCACAGUAGAAUGCAAUGGAAUAAAGGGAAUUCGGAGGAGAGGAAAGGUCUGAUUGGUGCCUGCAGAACACAUCUGACAUGGAGGGCAUCACCUGCCCCAUCCCCGGGCAGCAUGCCAUCUUCAAUCAAUCACUCAACUCAUAGAGAACAUGACAUCACUCAGGCUCACACUACUAUUGAGGACCUCUGAGUUCCCCUGCUACUGUCCCCAAUGACUCUUCUCUUCCUACCCCCUCCUUCUCUGUGACUCUCUUCGGUGACGGGUAUUCUUGGGUGGAUAAUACGGAUCACGUUGUUAUUGCUUAAGAAUACGCGUAGUUGAGGAGAGUCCUCUCAACACUGACUUGGAGGAGCUAAAGGAGCUAACGUCCCGCUGCAUGAGCCAAAGUAGAGCCAGGAUGACUGCCUGGUUUCCAUAUCCAGGACCAUUUAUUAAGCAACUAGAAAGAUUAACGUAACCUAAUUACUUUACUGGGCUUUCAGCUCUGCCCAACCCCUGUGGAUGCUAGCAGCAAAGACAGAAAGACAGGGAGAGUGAGAGAGAGAGGUAGAAGCUUAUUGCGCUUUUACAGUUACCUCUCCCAUUAUGUUUUUUCGCAGUAGGCUAUAUCAUAUUGUUGUAAUUACUGUAAUAUGAUUUGAUUACCCAUUCUACUGAAUGUUGUGUUUUCUGUUGUGUCGACUCUACCAGUCUGAUUACUUAAUAUUUUCUUCAAUUAAUUCAUUUAGGCUUCAGGGUGAAACAGGCUCAUUUUCACUUUAGGGAGUUGUGUUUUGUACUGAUGCCUUGCCUGGUGCAGUAAUGGAGAUUUGCUUUGGUCCUACAAAUACGCAACAUUUAGCUUGCAUACAUAUAGAUUUUGUGCGAACACAGUUUCUGGCCUAAGAGCUACUUCCCAGAGAUGUCAAGAUGACCAUGUUGCCUGUGGAUACCUCAUUGAGAGUAAAAGAGAAUAUAUUGGGAGAAGGAGAAACUAUGUGAGAGCAACUGAAUUUUAACAAAAAUAUUUUGAUUCUACCUCAGUGCUGUGUAUCAGUACAACCCUGUAACUCCGUGACAGAGAGCUAGUUGUUUUUGAUCACAGAGUAAAUAUCAACAAUAUGCAGAGAAACUGUCCUGGCACAUGUCAUUAUUCCACAUCCUAGCGCCAUGCAGACCCUCCCUCUGAAGAUCAAUUCUACAAGCCCAGUAAAAUCACUCCCCGACUCAUUCCCCAAUGCGUUUUCAUGCAAAACGAUUUACACAUCGAGAAGAGUCAUUACGCUUGAAUGACGUGGGGAAACGUCCCUCUCUUAGCUUACACUGGUGGAAAUCAAUGAGGUCUGCAUUACAGUCUUAUUGUGACAGUCAGUUUCUGCUGAAUCAUGCUGUUGAAUUUUUUGGCCGUUGGACCGUUGGCUUAUCAAAUUGGCCAAAGAGUUUAUGUUUGGUUGCAUUAGAUUAUAUCAAAUUAAAUAAAUGGAAGAAUUGAAGUUGCUCUCAAAAUGUCCCUAUAAUGACAUCUCUUGAAUCUGCUAUGCAUCUAAUGUUCCUAUCAUCUGAGGCUAAAAACAGAAGGUCUGCUCCAGCCUCUAAUGAAUCUAUCAUUAGAUUCAUAACUGUCAUAAUUAGAUCCUACCACUAGGGGAGCCCUGUAGCUGACAGUCAGACAAUUAACUCAAUUAAGUUUUUUUUUGUAACUGUUUUAUAAGGAGCAUUACUUUAGCAGCACUACUUAUGAAUCUGCACUGUUAGUCAGGCAGUGUGUUUUGCAGUACAAAUGGGCAUGCUUUUGACAAUCUGUUCAUUCAGUUUAUGACAUUUUGAACAUCAUUUUCUAAUCAGACAUUUUUGUUAAUUGAUUGUAUAUUUUUUUGUGACAUGUUGAAAACCCAGACAAUCUGUAAAAUCUUAUGGAUCGAAAACAACAUGACAAACAAUAAACAAACAAUUUGAAAUAUGUGACAGCUGAUGUGAUUUUAUCAUGUUAAUCAUGUCCACCAUUUUUUUAAAUCUCUAUAACACCAAACAAAUUAGAGGAUAUUUAUUCAAUCUUAAUUGCAAUGCCUUUGGAGUGUACGGCUCAAUCU